GUCUCCCCCGUCCGCUGCCCGGUCUCCUGUGGCCGCCCCUGCCUUCUGCCCGGUCCCUGUCCUGUGCGUCGGGCCCUUCCCAAGGUGCAGAGGGCGCCACUGCAGACCCGAGGUCGCGGCCACCGGCUCCUGGGCCAGGCCCUUUUUCUCUCCUCGAGCCGUCGGGGGAGGGUCUCCAGGGUGCUUGUUUGGGGAAAGCGGAAACAGACUGUCUGGGCCGCUGUUAAAAUGUCAGCAGCCAAGGAAGAAGCAGCGACCUGGCGUCUGCUCGGGCCAGGGUUGAUAGAGAGGAGUGGAGUGAUAUCGGACACCCAGCUUCAGCAAGCUCUCUCCAAGGUUUAUUUAUACUCGGGAAGUGCAAGACAUGGCGACUAGAAAGAGAUGUCAAGAGAACCCGGAAUCCAGUAGGCUACAAUUUGGCAAAUCUUAGCUUAAAACUUCCUAAAUGUUGACCACAGUGGAUGCAAAUGGCUCUGUGCAUCGUCUGUUCAAUAUGGUCAGGUGACCACCCAGGUUCACGUGGUUUGUCACCAGGGUGAUACGAGCCACACGGAGUGCCCUCCUCAGAGGCCAUGUCUCAGAGACGUUUAUUUUGAGUGGUUUUCCAGCGAGUGAUGCAAGAUUUAUGAUCCAUUUUAACAGCCUGCUUUUUAUGCAUUUGCUCAACUUUUUAGAUUUUAGGUUUAGUUUUAGGUUUUCUGUUAAACUUGCUCAAAUAGGAGUGGUGGUCAAAUACUGGACCUCAUUAGUAUGGUAGCCUGCCCACCUUGGCAGGCUCCACUGGAGUGCUUUGGGGCCUGCCUGGAUUCCAGUCCUGGCUCUACCAGUUUUGUGUCCUCGCUGUUACUGGGAGGGAGUAUUGAGGAAAUGCAUGCGAGGUGUUUCCAUGAUUCCUGGCACGGAGCAAGUGCUCAGUAAUUGUCAGCUGUGAGUAUUAGUAGUAGCUAAUACACUGCUACUAUUCUUGGCUAACAAGCCAGCUCAAAGCUUUGAUGGUUUUCCAUUACCUGAUGAUGGUGAUGAUGGUUUCCACUUACUGAACACUCACACGCUGGGCUAGGCACUUAACCCAAAUCCAAGGUCAGCAUUAUUGUUUGGGGGUUGGGGAGACACCUCCUGCUCUGACUUGUGUGUUUGGGUUCCCGUAUUUUCACCAGAGGGUGUUAGUCCUGCCCCAGUUCAGCUGGUCCUCAAAGUGUAUAUAGCUCUUUAACCAUCAGCAAGUGUCUAUCAGAACAUAAUCUUGAUUUCAGCUGCUACUAAAUAU
Molecule: long non-coding RNA, 1267 nt
Filed under: Pan paniscus (pygmy chimpanzee)
Lineage: Eukaryota; Metazoa; Chordata; Mammalia; Primates; Hominidae
Description: lncRNA (ENSPPAG00000044771.1)
Source: RNAcentral